Silurus meridionalis is the source of this 353-nucleotide long non-coding RNA. RefSeq lists it as uncharacterized. The transcript has 3 exons. The record is from RefSeq and is a predicted model, not a curated record. Lineage: Eukaryota; Metazoa; Chordata; Actinopteri; Siluriformes; Siluridae.
ACGCUGCUUGAUCAUGUAACAGCAGGCAUCACCAGAACAUCUUUAGAUCUUCAGAUCUACACAAAUGAGUCUGCAUCAUCAGGUAGUUCAUCCACUGAAGAAAGCUGAGGCUGGAGGAGAGGAAGACCAUGGAGCAGGUUUAUGGAUGCAGUAAGGAAAGACAUGUAGGAGGUUGGAAAGAUGUCGAGGAUGGAGAUGGAUGAUCAAGCUGAAAUGACCAAAUGCUACAUGAGUGGACACGAGCUGCUUAUGGUCCAAUUCAUGUUUAUUUGUUUUGCGCUUUUAACAAUGAACAUCAUCUCAGAGCAGCGUUACACUGAUAAUGUGCUGAUAAAAAUAAAUGUUCUCUAUAA